RNAcentral lists this ribosomal RNA (228 nucleotides) under uncultured bacterium. Its description in RNAcentral is "partial 16S ribosomal RNA". It matches the Rfam family "Bacterial small subunit ribosomal RNA", at positions 103 to 334 of the family's 1533-position model. The record is from RNAcentral.
CGGGUGAGUAAUGUCUGGGAAACUGCCCGAUGGAGGGGGAUAACUACUGGAAACGGUAGCUAAUACCGCAUAACGUCGCAAGACCAAAGAGGGGGACCUUAGGGCCUCUUGCCAUCGGAUGUGCCCAGAUGGGAUUAGCUAGUAGGUGGGGUGAUGGCUCACCUAGGCGACGAUCCCUAGCUGGUCUGAGAGGAUGACCAGCCACACUGGAACUGAGACACGGUCCAG